GAGGGUAUAGCUCAGUGGUAGAGUGCAUGCUUGGCAUGCACAAGGUCCUGGGUUCAAUCCUCAGUACCUCCA
RNAcentral lists this transfer RNA (72 nucleotides) under Camelus bactrianus (Bactrian camel). It matches the Rfam family "tRNA". From Rfam's summary of the family: Transfer RNA (tRNA) molecules are approximately 80 nucleotides in length. The record is from Rfam by way of RNAcentral. RNAcentral also lists the same sequence under 3 other names. Lineage: Eukaryota; Metazoa; Chordata; Mammalia; Artiodactyla; Camelidae.